UACGUAGGGUGCGAGCGUUAAUCGGAAUUACUGGGCGUAAAGCGGGCGCAGACGGUUACUUAAGCAGGAUGUGAAAUCCCCGGGCUCAACCUGGGAAUUGCGUUCUGAACUGGGUGGCUAGAGUGUGUCAGAGGGGGGUAGAAUUCCACGUGUAGCAGUGAAAUGCGUAGAGAUGUGGAGGAAUACCGAUGGCGAAGGCAGCCCCCUGGGAUAGCACUGACGUUCAUGCCCGAAAGCGUGGGUAGCAAACAGU
Molecule: ribosomal RNA, 253 nt
Filed under: uncultured bacterium
Lineage: Bacteria
Description: partial 16S ribosomal RNA
Rfam family: Bacterial small subunit ribosomal RNA
Source: RNAcentral